UUUGCCAGAGUGAGUUUUUUGAAGAUC
RNAcentral lists this non-coding RNA (27 nucleotides) under Drosophila melanogaster (fruit fly). The record is from RNAcentral. Lineage: Eukaryota; Metazoa; Arthropoda; Insecta; Diptera; Drosophilidae.